AGAUUAUUUGCCCAAACACAUCUAUAAAAUAAUAAUCAAUAAAAUUAAUAUAGUACACGGUUGUCUUUCGCUUUCUUCCUUUUACCCCCAUCCAAGAGACAUUGUGCGAUACCUUGUCAAUAAUGUGCAACUCAAAUCACAGGUAAUGAAGUUCAAGGACAAAUAUUUAAUUUUUCGAAGAAAAGACAAGAUGAGAAGGAGAGAUUGAGGGUAACAGUUGUGCAACGGUGCUUUAGCUUCAAUAGGAAAGUUCAAUUUGGGGAUUUUAGGGUUCAAUUAGGGUUUAAUUAGGAUUUAAUUUGGGGAAAGUUAGGGAAUGGGACUCGCUAGCUGAGUAAGUUAUUUCUAUUGAUGUGGCAUAAGCCGAGGGGAGAAUCAACCGAUGCUAUUUACUUCUUUUUCCUCCUUUAUAUGAUGAUAGGUACAACUUUUGAAAGUUUCAUUCCCCUCUACAGAUUGAGUCGAUUGCAGCCACUAAAUGAAAGCAAUGGCAUUUGCCCAGAUACCAAGAUUACCAAAGAUUAUGAUCCAAGUAAUUGCAACUGACAUGAGUGAAGGGCAGAUAAACCAUGUUGUCUACAAUCCUUGAGUUUCACUCCAUCAUCAAUCCUUAAUUGGACCUUAAAAUUCAAUUGAUGACAGUACAGACUAUCAGUAGCUUGACAUUGGUGUGAUCUGGAUAGACCCUACUCUUAAGGUCAAGCAUCUUCUGUGAAAGCCAGGAGGAUCCAAAGGCAAAAUAUGCUUUUCAUUGUCACAAAGACACUUCCAUUUCCUUCUGCGAGUGUCGGUGUGGGCAGCCAAGAACAUUAGACGUGCCGAAAGAGAUAUCAUUCAAGGGAAUGCUGGUGCUGUUGAGAUCAGGUUCAGCUAUCAAUACUGCUAAAGAUCAAGGUGUGGAUUUGUUGUUUGAAAAUGUUGUUGAGGGGUUUGAGAUUACUUGGGGUGGUUCUGGUGUCAUCAGAACUGCCUUCAAAACUUACACGAUUGCAGGAAAAGUCAAGCAGUAAGAAGUGUCUCUACAAGUUAUGAAGAUGGAACCUACUGUUAAUUUUAAUGUAAGCCAAGCAGGGCAUGUAAGGAGCCUAUUUGGAUUUUUGGUUUAUGUUUUCUUUUUUACUUCUAUGGCAUUUUCUUAUAUGUGAAAAGUAGUCACUUUGCUAAAGAAAGAAGCCAAGACACA
Long non-coding RNA from Ricinus communis (castor bean), 1183 nucleotides. RefSeq lists it as uncharacterized. The transcript is spliced from 3 exons. The record is from RefSeq and is a predicted model, not a curated record. NCBI's taxonomy places the organism in Eukaryota, Viridiplantae, Streptophyta, Magnoliopsida, Malpighiales, Euphorbiaceae.